Molecule: small RNA, 106 nt
Filed under: Salmonella enterica subsp. enterica serovar Muenchen
Lineage: Bacteria; Pseudomonadati; Pseudomonadota; Gammaproteobacteria; Enterobacterales; Enterobacteriaceae
Also listed under: 2 other names
Description: partial RtT sRNA
Rfam family: RtT RNA
About the family: This family represents a bacterial cis-regulatory element known as RtT RNA. The exact function of RtT is unknown although it is thought that it may be involved in changing the cellular response in relation to amino acid starvation.
Source: RNAcentral
AAGCUUCGACUAAGGUUCGAUUCGAGCGAAAGCGAGAAAGCGUUGCCGCAGGCAACGACCCGAAGGGCGAAACGCGCAGCGCUGAGUCAUCCUUCCCCCACCACCA